This 1270-nucleotide long non-coding RNA is filed under the name Salmo salar (Atlantic salmon). RNAcentral's name for it is "lncRNA (ENSSSAG00000108504.1)". Lineage: Eukaryota; Metazoa; Chordata; Actinopteri; Salmoniformes; Salmonidae. The record is from RNAcentral.
CUCAAGGUAAGUUUUAUUUUAAAUUUGUGGACAUAACAUGGAUCAGACCCCGUUACCCCACAGCAGACUGUACGAUUUCCCGGGCUUUGUCGACAGAGCUUCCCCUCAGGUAGGUUACCCUCCCCCUUAAUCCCUCAGGUAAGUAUCAGCCAUGCGAAAGUGACCCUGCAACACACAGAAUUAUUCUGAUACAGCACUGCAACAAUAUGGUAAAAAGCACAACAAAUCUCACUCACACUGAAUUAUUCUGAUAUGGCACAGCAACAAUAGUUAUUUGAAGGGAAGGCAUUGCAAACAAUAACGUGAAAGGCACUACAAUUUCACUCUAGUGCUGCACACAAUAUGGGACCAACCCUUGGCCGUGCUCUACUCCGCCAACCCCUCUAAAGGACCCUCUACUGCUAUGUGACAAAACAGGCAGGGAAAAAGACCGACAACAUAUAAAGUGGCUGGGGAUAGGUUAUUGAUUUCUUUUUACCCCUUUUUUCUCCCCAAUUUCGUGGUAUCCAAUUGGUAGUAGGAGGAGGCCCCUGGUUAUUGAUUUCUAGGGCCCAACGAGAACCAUAUCCCCACAAAAAUAAAAUACAUGUCUUUGUCUGGAGAUAUCCAGAUCCGCACAGCUCCCUGUCCUGGAACGCGCCCUGUCUGAGACUCUGCUCGGCGACGUCACCGAUGGCCCCGCCUCCGGUGCUGAACAAGCGGGAGACAGACGCCAGGGAAACCUGCCAACAUUAGUGGCUUUCAGUGUCAUGGCAGAAUGGCCGAGAGAGAGAGUAGUGUAAGGGGAACACAGGAAGAAUCACGUCCCUUACUUGGCGGAGCUAAAGCUCCUAGAUGUGCAUUGUACCAAUGCCCCUCUCGGUCCUUUGCUCUCGGAUCACCACUCAGCUCCGCAGCCCCAGUUCGUCGUCGUUCCUCACUCAAAUUCGUCAGUAAGACUUCUCAUCCUGCAGACAAUGGUCCAGUGCAAUCACAGCAAACACCCAAGACAUGGAAACUUAUAUAGGGGCCCAAUCCCAACGGAGAGACAUUCUGCGCUCAACUCCCAGCAGACAAACAACACAGAACGGGGCUUUUGAAGGAAAUGACAGCCAAUUCCCAGCUACCUGUAUGAUUAGCUAACUCUCUGAAGCUGCAUCUGAUUCAUUAACAACUGUGACAAAGGUUGGCAUCCCUUGUUGAUCCACUGUGUGUCUGAGAGUUUAUAGCCUAUGCUCAGUAGGCUCUAAAGACUUACCCAUGAGUGUGCACUGUUCAAAAUAUAUCUCCA